RNAcentral lists this long non-coding RNA (782 nucleotides) under Mytilus galloprovincialis (Mediterranean mussel). The record is from RNAcentral. Lineage: Eukaryota; Metazoa; Mollusca; Bivalvia; Mytilida; Mytilidae.
UCAGGUUUCGACUCUUUUCAAAUCUUGUAUCCCAAUUUAAUUUUUCACAAUCUUUUUUAUUAAUGCCGAAAUAUAUACCUAGCACUUUUACAGGUUUGUCCGUGAAUUUAAUUUCAUCUACUUUAUCUCUACAAUGCUUUAGUUUACCAAUCCAAAUUCCUUCCGUUUUAUUUUUGUUUAGUUGUAAUCCAGAAAAAGUUCCAAAAAUUUCGAUUAUAUUUAAUGCUGUUCGGAUUUCUUCUUUAGAUUUUAGGAAUAGAGUUGUAUCAUCAGCCACUUGCGUGAUUUUUAAGCAAUGUGUUUUACUAUCAAUUUUUAAUUCUAUGCCUGUUAUAUUUUUGUUUUGCCUUAGUUGGUUAGCCAUUAUUUCUACUGACAUUACGAAAAGUAUAGAAGAGCACGGGCAUCCCUGUCGGAUACCUCUUAGGGGUCUAAAGGGGGCAGAUAUCCAACCGUUAUUAAAUAUAGAACUAUCUAUAUUUGUAUACAAGGUUUUUAUCCAGUUUAUGAAGGGUUUAUUAAAACCAAAAUAUUCUAAAGUAUGAUACAUAAAAUUCCAUUCUAAUGUGUCGAAAGCUUUCGAAAAAUCUAUGAAUAAAAUUGCUCCUUCUAUAUUAAACUUAUCUGCGUAAUCUAUAACAUCUUGUAUUUGGCGUAAAUUAAAACCUAUAAAUCGGUUCUUUAUGUAACCGGUUUGAUCGGCAUUAAUGAUUAAAUUUAAGAUUUUUUUUAUUCUUAAAGCUAGAGUGUAUGAAAGUAUUUUGUAAUCACUAUUUAAUAAU